AAGAUUUGAGAAAAAGGAGGAAGGAGAGAAUGAGACCAACCUUUUUUUGAAAGGAGAGAAUGAGACCAACCUUCUCAAUUAUAGGUUUGAUUGACCUCAUCUUUGGAGGGGGCGGGAUACGGAGAACUCUCUCUGGAGGAGGUGGUUCCAGGGGGCGGGGAUCGGAGAACUCUCUCUGGAGGAGGUGGUUCCAGGCUCUCCGAGAGAGAGAGAGCCACGGAAGGACCUGUUCUUGGACACAUCGACUGGGUUUGGUCGGCAUCCACGGUGAGGUCCGGCCUCACCUCGGCGACUAACUAUAUCGAUUAGGAGCCCUCCGACCUUCCUCAAGCCUGUGGUGGUGGCUAGCACCAGUUCAAACUGAAAAAGAGCCAACUAAAGAGGGUCCUAUGGGUUCCUCCUAGUCCGACCACAGAUUGAAGGUGGACUCGGGACACUUAUAUGAAAAGUUGAGGUAAUGAGUUGUAUUUCUUGUAUUAAAUCUGGGUCAGGGUGUUACAAAUGGUAUCAGAGCGGGGAUAUGAUUACUGGGGUAUAAACUUUGGCGAGAAUAGAAUGGUACUUUGGAUUUUCAUAAUUCUAAAAGUUUGUUAUUGAUGGUUGUGAUUUGUUUUAGGCCAGGAACUAAGAUUUUAAUGGGUGUCAGUAUGUUGAUGGUCUUUAGUUGCGUGUGUGUGUGAGUUGUUGAUAUCAAUUUGUUGGAUUUUAGUGGGACUUGUGUGGCUACUGUCUGUUCUGGUGUGGGUAUUAUUCCUGUUGUUAAACUGUUUUGGUUAUGAGAACCAAAAUCUGAUCACUUUGGUAUGAGUAUCAUAAUUGAUCAGUUCGAUUUAUGAACUAUUGGAAUGAUAGAUGUAAUUUUAGACAUCUGCAAGUCUUGAAUACAAUUACUAUGAUAUGGAGUUUCUCACAAGAUUAGUUACAGUUGGAAUGAUGGAGCCUAUGGUUAUAGGUUAAACAAUCUUUGUGAGAAUAAGAUAUGAAUUCUUAAAUGCCUGAAUGCAUGUUGUGAUUUGAAAUUGAAAAAUAAUAAUAAUAAUAAUACUCUUUCCAUAUGAGUUUAGAUAUUGUGCUUGACUUAGAACCUUGGGUUAUGCUCUUUUGAAGAACGAUUUGCGUAAGUGUGAAGAGUAUUUUUGCAACUAAAUAUUGUAUACUGGUUUUGAUAAAUUUCUGUCACUUAGAAUACUAUUUAGUAUGUCAGAACAAGUUCGAAACUGAUAUUGAGUUCUUAGCUUAUGCAUCGCCAAGUGGGUGCUGGACUGUUGUUUUUGUUGUCAAAUAAUUUUCUAUGCAGUUGGGUAACCAAAGUGUGUUUCAUUUUACUAUUGGAUCCAACUUCCCUGAUCAAAACUUACUUCUAGGUUGUUGGCCUUAAGUAUGAUUAUCAGCAUAGCCUUGGGGUAAGGUUAUCAAUAGUUAUGUUAAUAGACAUUGUUUGUUCUUCCACCAUUAUAUCUAUUAUUGAGGUUCACCUAUUGGUCCAAUAGUAUGAAAAUGUUGGUAUGAUUGAUAUUAGGAAAUUGUUGAAAAUUGGAAACUGAUGCUUGCUGGUAUAGAAGUGUAUGUAUUAGUAAUAUCGAUUUCUAUAACUGUAUAUGUUGAUGUAUCUUAAANNN
Molecule: long non-coding RNA, 1619 nt
Filed under: Fragaria vesca (wild strawberry)
Lineage: Eukaryota; Viridiplantae; Streptophyta; Magnoliopsida; Rosales; Rosaceae
Description: long non-coding RNA (FVES_LNC001683)
Source: RNAcentral